GAUGAACGCUGGCGGCGUGCCUAAUACAUGCAAGUCGAGCGAACGGACGAGAAGCUUGCUUCUCUGAUGUUAGCGGCGGACGGGUGAGUAACACGUGGAUAACCUACCUAUAAGACUGGGAUAACUUCGGGAAACCGGAGCUAAUACCGGAUAAUAUUUUGAACCGCAUGGUUCAAAAGUGAAAGACGGUCUUGCUGUCACUUAUAGAUGGAUCCGCGCUGCAUUAGCUAGUUGGUAAGGUAACGGCUUACCAAGGCAACGAUGCAUAGCCGACCUGAGAGGGUGAUCGGCCACACUGGAACUGAGACACGGUCCAGACUCCUACGGGAGGCAGCAGUAGGGAAUCUUCCGCAAUGGGCGAAAGCCUGACGGAGCAACGCCGCGUGAGUGAUGAAGGUCUUCGGAUCGUAAAACUCUGUUAUUAGGGAAGAACAUAUGUGUAAGUAACUGUGCACGUCUUGACGGUACCUAAUCAGAAAGCCACGGCUAACUACGUA
This 497-nucleotide ribosomal RNA is filed under the name uncultured bacterium. Its description in RNAcentral is "partial 16S ribosomal RNA". It matches the Rfam family "Bacterial small subunit ribosomal RNA", at positions 28 to 507 of the family's 1533-position model. The record is from RNAcentral.